GACGAACGCUGGCGGCGUGCCUAAUACAUGCAAGUCGAACGCAGUGGGGACGGGUGAGUAACACGUGGGUAACCUCCCAUCAGAGGGGAUAACACUUGGAAACAGGUGCUAAACCGAUACUGAUGGAUGGACCCGCGGUGCAUUAGCUAGUUGGUGAGGUAACGGCUCACCAAGGCCACGAUGCAUAGGCGACCUGAGAGGGUGAUCGGCCAAACCGGGACUGAGACACGGUCCAGACUCCCACGGGAGGCAGCAGUAGGGAAUUUUUGGCAAUGGACGAAAGGUUGAACGAGCCACGCCGGGUUAGUUAAGAAGGGUUUCGGGUUGUAAAACCUUGUUGUUUGAGAAGCGGUAUCUAACCAGAAAGCCACGGCUAACUACGUGCCAGCAGCCGCGGUAAUUC
RNAcentral lists this ribosomal RNA (403 nucleotides) under uncultured bacterium. RNAcentral's name for it is "partial 16S ribosomal RNA". It matches the Rfam family "Bacterial small subunit ribosomal RNA", at positions 28 to 526 of the family's 1533-position model. The record is from RNAcentral.